AGAAUCAACGCUGGCGGCGUGCCUAACACAUGCAAGUCGAACGAGAAAGUGGUAGCAAUACCAUGAGUAAAGUGGCGCACGGGUGAGUAACACGUGACUAACCUACCCUGGAGUGGGGGAUAACUGAGGGAAACCUUAGCUAAUACCGCAUAACACCUACGGGUCAAAGGAGCAAUUCGCUUCAGGAGGGGGUCGCGGCAGAUUAGCUAGUUGGCGGGGUAAUGGCCCACCAAGGCAGUGAUCUGUA
Molecule: ribosomal RNA, 247 nt
Filed under: uncultured bacterium
Lineage: Bacteria
Description: partial small subunit ribosomal RNA
Rfam family: Bacterial small subunit ribosomal RNA
Source: RNAcentral